RNAcentral lists this small RNA (725 nucleotides) under Pongo abelii (Sumatran orangutan). RNAcentral's name for it is "retained intron". Lineage: Eukaryota; Metazoa; Chordata; Mammalia; Primates; Hominidae. The record is from RNAcentral.
CCCGCAGCUCCAGCCCGGCGGCGAUGGCGCGGAGCGUGCGCGUGCUCGUGGACAUGGACGGCGUCCUCACCGACUUCGAGGCCGGCCUUCUGCGGGGCUUCCGCCGCCGCUUCCCUGAGGAGCCGCACGUGCCGCUGGAGCAGCGCCGCGGCUUCCUGGCCCGCGAGCAGUACCGCGCCCUGCGGCCCGACCUGGCAGAUAAAGUGGCCAGUGUGUACGAAGCCCCGGGCUUUUUCCUGGACCUGGAGCCCAUCCCGGGAGCCUUGGACGCUGUGCGGGAGAUGAACGACCUACCGGAGUAAGGAGAGUGGGGGCAGGCGGAGUCCUGGGCGGGCUCCUGGCUCCCGGCGGUAACCACGUCCUUCUCCGCAGCACGGAGGUCUUCAUCUGCACCAGCCCCCUGCUGAAGUACGACCACUGUGUGGGUGAGAAGGUGUGGCUGCCCCGCCCCUACUCCGCAUUUGGAGCUGCCUAAAUCCUGAUUUUAAAAAGAAACCACCAGAAACCCAGAAGUACCGCUGGGUGGAGCAGCACUUGGGGCCCCAGUUCGUAGAACGAAUUAUCCUGACAAGGGACAAGACGGUGGUCUUGGGGGACCUGCUCAUUGACGACAAGGACACAAUUCGAGGCCAGGAGGAGACCCCAAGCUGGGAGCACAUCUUGUUCACCUGCUGCCACAAUCGGCACCUGGUCCUGCCCCCGACAAGGAGACGGCUGCUCUCCUG